RNAcentral lists this long non-coding RNA (1201 nucleotides) under Solanum tuberosum (potato). RNAcentral's name for it is "long non-coding RNA (STUB_LNC004991)". The record is from RNAcentral. Lineage: Eukaryota; Viridiplantae; Streptophyta; Magnoliopsida; Solanales; Solanaceae.
GGGAUAGAAGAGCAUGAGUAGGCUAUGAUUGAUACAGACAUUGAUGUUGAGACAGAUGAUGUGUAAUACUAUGAUGUGGUCGUGAUAUGGUUGUGAUUGAGACAGGUGAUGUGUAAUACUAUGAUGUGGUCGUGAUAUGGUUGUGAUUGAGACAGGUGAUGUGUAAUACUAUGAUGUGGUCGUGAUAUGGUUGUGAUUGAGACAGGUGAUGUGUAAUACUAUGAUGUGGUUGAGAUAUGGUUGUGAUUGAGACAGGUGAUGUGUAAUACUAUGAUGUGGUUGAGAUAUGGUUGUGAUUGAGACAGGUGAUGUGUAAUACUAUGAUGUGGUCGUGAUAUGGUUGUGAUUGAGGCAGAUGAUGUGUAAUACUAUGAUGUGGUCGUGAUAUGGUUGUGAUUGAGGCAGAUGAUGUGUAAUACUAUGAUGUGGUCGUGAUAUGGUUGUGAUUGAGGCAGAUGAUGUGUAAUACUAUGAUGUGGUCGUGAUAUGGUUGUGAUUGAGACAGAUGAUGUGUAAUACUAUGAUGUGGUCGUGAUAUGGUUGUGAUUGAGACAGAUGAUGUGUAAUACUAUGAUGUGGUCGUGAUAUGGUUGUGAUUGAGACAGAUGAUGUGUAAUACUAUGAUGUGGUCGUGAUAUGGUUGUGAUUGAGACAGAUGAUGUGUAAUACUAUGAUGUGGUCGUGAUAUGGUUGUGAUUGAGACAGAUGAUGUGUAAUACUAUGAUGUGGUCGUGAUAUGGUUGUGAUUGAGACAGAUGAUGUGUAAUACUAUGAUGUGGUCGUGAUAUGGUUGUGAUUGCGACAGAUGAUGUGUAAUACUAUGAUGUGGUCGUGAUAUGGUUGUGAUUGCGACAGAUGAUGUGUAAUACUAUGAUGUGGUCGUGAUAUGGUUGUGAUUGCGACAGAUGAUGUGUAAUACUAUGAUGUGGUCGUGAUAUGGUUGUGAUUGCGACAGAUGAUGUGUAAUACUAUGAUGUGGUCGUGAUAUGGUUGUGAUUGAGACAGAUGAUGUGCAAUACUAUGAUGUGAUCGUGAUAUGAUUGUGAUUGAUGACAUGUGCAUAUUCAUUAUUCAUCCCAUGUGUGAACUAUCUGUUGCAUGAGUUCUGAGACACUGAUAUGAGGAUGGAUGGAUAUGAGACACAGUUGAGACUAGCUCCGGCUAGCGAUUUGGAUGCCGAUGGGAUCUGGUUCCGGCGGUG